UAGCUCAGUUGGUAGAGCAGUUGACUUUUAAUCAAUUGGUCGCAGGUUCGAAUCCUGCACGACCCACCAAUCUUUAAUGAUGGUAACUGGUAGAAACGUGAAGGAUAACGUUGCGACAGCGACGGCCCGAAGGGCGAGGCGAAGCUGAGUCAUCCUGCACGACCCACCA
This 169-nucleotide small RNA is filed under the name Klebsiella quasipneumoniae. RNAcentral's name for it is "RtT sRNA". The stretch from base 1 to 66 matches the Rfam family "tRNA". The record is from RNAcentral. Lineage: Bacteria; Pseudomonadati; Pseudomonadota; Gammaproteobacteria; Enterobacterales; Enterobacteriaceae.